This 314-nucleotide long non-coding RNA is filed under the name Trifolium pratense (red clover). RNAcentral describes it as "long non-coding RNA (TPRA_LNC003193)". Lineage: Eukaryota; Viridiplantae; Streptophyta; Magnoliopsida; Fabales; Fabaceae. The record is from RNAcentral.
GGGCCCGUUUGGUGCACAGGAUAAGAGACAGGAUAGGAUAACUAUAUCAUAUCCUGUCUCAAUCCAGUGUUUGGUGACACAACAGGAUAUGAUAAGUUAAUCCUGAAGCUUAUCCUAUCCUGUUUCUCUAGUUAAAAUCCUUAUCCUGAAUUUGAGCUGGGUUACCAGCAGGAUAGGAUAAGAAAAAAAAAUCAUUGAUUUAUUCUAUAAAAUAUAUUUUAAAAUAAAAAAUUGAAAAUUAAUAAAAUAAUUUGAUAGUAAAUUAAUAAUAAAAUAAUUAAUUUUUAAAUAUAUAUGUGAUUUUCUCACAAGGN